This 596-nucleotide long non-coding RNA is filed under the name Helianthus annuus (common sunflower). Lineage: Eukaryota; Viridiplantae; Streptophyta; Magnoliopsida; Asterales; Asteraceae. The record is from RNAcentral.
AAAUCGCACAAGCCUGAGAAAACCAGCACCGUUGCCUGCGUUUGAGACGACCACAACCACCUGAGACGGGCACCACCACCAGAGCACUAGGUACCCACCACUAAACCCUAAAUCUGCUCGAUUUGCAUCCGGAGGUUUUAUCUAGGGUUAGUGUUGAAACAAUGGCAGGGAAUUGGGACCAUACCUCUUCAGUUAGAGAAGAAGUCGUCGGAAUCUGGUCGCUGGAGGGUGGUGGGUUUUUGUCUGAAGCAGAGAAGCACAGUUCUUGCCGGCAUUUCUUCGAACAGUUGGUGAAGGUUUAGUGUUGUAGGAGUGAAAUGACUUCAACUAGUAGUUCUAGUAAAUCGUUUAAGGCGUUUCGUCGAAUGGUUUUAGGGUUUGGGGGUGAUCACACUCAGGUACAUUCUGAGGAGAUGAAGAAUGAGCCGUAAUCGUUAAAGAAGGCCUGAAGUAAUAUGAUUCUGAUACUAUUAUUAAGUCAACAGUCAUGGUAGGUUGCACAUAUUUUUUCUUAGAACUCUUUUGUAAGUUAGAUUUUAUGAUACAGUGAAGAACAUAUUAGCAAAAUAAUAAACAUUUCAGGUAAGUUUGUUUUG